UACGGAGGGUGCAAGCGUUAUCCGGAUUCACUGGGUUUAAAGGGUGCGUAGGUGGGCAAGUAAGUCAGUGGUGAAAUCUCCGGGCUUAACCCGGAAACUGCCAUUGAUACUAUUUGUCUUGAAUACUGUGGAGGUCAGCGGAAUAUGUCAUGUAGCGGUGAAAUGCUUAGAUAUGACGCAGAACACCAAUUGCGAAGGCAGCUUGCUACACUACUAUUGACACUGAGGCACGAAAGCGUGGGGAUCAAACAGG
This 253-nucleotide ribosomal RNA is filed under the name uncultured bacterium. RNAcentral describes it as "partial 16S ribosomal RNA". It matches the Rfam family "Bacterial small subunit ribosomal RNA", at positions 524 to 776 of the family's 1533-position model. The record is from RNAcentral.